RNAcentral lists this ribosomal RNA (496 nucleotides) under uncultured bacterium. Its description in RNAcentral is "partial 16S ribosomal RNA". It matches the Rfam family "Bacterial small subunit ribosomal RNA", at positions 28 to 506 of the family's 1533-position model. The record is from RNAcentral.
GAUGAACGCUGGCGGCGUGCCUAAUACAUGCAAGUCGAGCGAACAGACGAGGAGCUUGCUCCUCUGACGUUAGCGGCGGACGGGUGAGUAACACGUGGAUAACCUACCUAUAAGACUGGGAUAACUUCGGGAAACCGGAGCUAAUACCGGAUAAUAUAUUGAACCGCAUGGUUCAAUAGUGAAAGACGGUUUUGCUGUCACUUAUAGAUGGAUCCGCGCCGCAUUAGCUAGUUGGUAAGGUAACGGCUUACCAAAGCGACGAUGCGUAGCCGACCUGAGAGGGUGAUCGGCCACACUGGAACUGAGACACGGUCCCGACUCCUACGGGAGGCAGCAGUAGGGAAUCUUCCGCAAUGGGCGAAAGCUUGACGGAGCAACGCCGCGUGAGUGAUGAAGGUCUUCGGAUCGUAAAACUCUGUUAUUAGGGAAGAACAAAUGUGUAAGUAACUAUGCACGUCUUGACGGUACCUAAUCAGAAAGCCACGGCUAACUACGU